AUCAAAUCCCUGCGGACAUUUGAAAACACCCCACUAAGACUGCAACUGGAACUCUUUAUUUAAUUUAAUAUAUUUUCGUGGUUGACCCCUAUAUAAAAAAUAGGGGUAUAUUAACUAAGCGCUGAUACUGUUUUUAUUUCAAUCCCUAUAUAAAACCAAAGUGUGCUGCAGGCACAAAACAAUAUGUAUAAUGUAGCCUGAGAAGAGCAAAGCGUCUGAGGUGCUCAGGAUAUCAGUUACACAGCAGGCAGCAUACAAAACAUGUAACCUGUGUAGGACAGUAGGUGAAAAGAUGGUCAGAGAUAGGUAAUAGCCAGUGGGGUUCUAUGUAUAUGACCCAUCAGACAGAGUAGUGGGAGUAGGCCUGCAUCUAGUUGGAUGGAGGCAUAACCCCACAGUAAAACCAAUGGCAGCCAAACCCCACUCCCAAACCAGCUGUGCUAAUAACCCUCCGUAACUAGGAGGCUAUCCAGAAAUAGCUAGAGCUAUCCAACCUUAUCACCUAGGCUAUCUGCUGCUUCAUGGCAGCUAGGAGAUUCUAUGUAGCUUUCCCUGCGUGUUUAACAUAAAGAGCUGCAGCUUACCCAAACGGAUAGAAAAGUGAACUAAAAGAAUAAGUGCAUUGGCACACUAAGUAGCUCGACGCGUGUUUCUGCAGUAAAUACUGCCUUUGUCAAGAGCCACUGUUAAAGGACCACAAUAGUCACCCAGACCAUUUCAGCUCAAUGAAGUGGUCUGGGUGCCAGGUCCCUCAGGUUUUAAUCCUUCAAAUGUAAACAUAGCAGCUUCAGAGAAACUGCUAUGUUUACAUUGCAGGGUUAAUCCAGCCUCUAGUGGCUGUCUUCCUGACAGCCGCUAGAGGUGCUGCUGCAACUCUCAAAAUCGCAUUGAGCAUGCAGAACAUCCAUAGGAAAGCAAUGAGAAAUGCUUUCCUACAGGCGGUUUUAAUGCACGGGGGACUCUGGCCGCGCAUGCGCAUUCGGCUCCACUCGGGAGCUGACGUCGGAGGGGGAGAAGAGGUCACCAGCGCCAAGGGAGCCCGGCGGGAGGGGGCCCUGAGGGUGUGGGGGGGGACCUAAGGAUUAUAUAGUGUCAGGAAAAUGAAUUUGUUUUCCUGACACUAUAGUGAUCCCUUAAUAUUCUCAGGACUAGAUGCUUUGUUGCAUCUCUGGGGAAUGUUCUGUAGGUGUCAUGAUCUUGUGCAGGUCAGGGAUUAGACUGAAACUGGGGUUAACUUCAGGGUCUCUAUUUUCUAUCUUAUACAUUAUAGUAAGAACAGGAUAUCCUAUAAUAGAAAUUAUAGGAAUGGGAGAGACAGAAAACAGAGUUACAGGUGAGAAUAACUAGGCUAUGAAGUAAAGGGUUUAGACAAUAAGCACAAAGUGGAAAUAAGGUGAACCUAUAAAUGAAGUUACAGGUAGGAGAUUGUAUAGGUACAAUCUUGAGGGAAAACAGGAUUCAUUCAAUAUCCCCCAGAACAGG
Molecule: non-coding RNA, 1482 nt
Organism: Pelobates cultripes (western spadefoot toad)
Lineage: Eukaryota; Metazoa; Chordata; Amphibia; Anura; Pelobatidae
Source: the annotation of a GenBank genome assembly